CCUUGUUCAUUGUCGUCUCUCCUCUCUUAGGUGUUGAAUUUGAGAGGGGAGAAGCUCGAGCUUAGCCUUAUUGACAUUGCAGAAAAGGAGUGCAGGCUCUUGUUUUCCGCCACUCUCAUUUUGCCGUUAUGAUGAAUAUGACAACAUUAUUCCAUUCAAGGGUACUCAACAUAUAGAAUGUCAGUUAAUGUCCAAUGGUACUAUGUUAUCCCACCUAAAGAACGUGAAGGUGGAACUAUCAUCAGAUAUGGAUCAUAUGAUUGUUACGUUUUUCCUGGACCUCUUCAGGCUGUUCAUUUUUCAUCAUCAGAAUCAGGCAAAUGUUUACUUCAUUCCACAGCAGGUGGUUGAAG
Molecule: long non-coding RNA, 353 nt
Organism: Spinacia oleracea (spinach)
Lineage: Eukaryota; Viridiplantae; Streptophyta; Magnoliopsida; Caryophyllales; Amaranthaceae
Exons: 4
Source: RefSeq, a predicted model, not a curated record